GAGCUCAAAUUUUGAAUCUGGCGGUCUUUAGGCCGUCCGAGUUGUAAUCUAGAGAAGCGUCUUCCGCGCUGGACCGUGUAUAAGUUUCCUGGAAAGGAACGUCGUAGAGGGUGAAAAUCCCGUCUUUGACACGGACUCCCAGGGCUAUGUGAUGCGCUCUCGACGAGUCGAGUUGUUUGGGAAUGCAGCUCAAAUAGGGUGGUAAAUUCCAUCUAAAGCUAAAUACAGGCGAGAGACCGAUAGCGAACAAGUACCGUGAGGGAAAGACGAAAAGAACUUUGGAAAGAGAGUUAAACAGUACGUGAAAUUGCUGAAAGGGAAACGCUUGAUGUCAGUCGCGUUGGCCGGGGAUCAGCCUUGCUUAAUCGCGAGGCGUACUUCCUGGUCGACGGGUCAGCAUCAGUUUUGACCGUCGGAAAAGGGCUUGAGGAAAGUGGCACUCUCUCGGGAGUGUGUUAUAGACUCGGGUCUUGAAUACGAUGGUUGGGACUGAGGAACUCAGCACGGCCCUUUGGGUAUCGGGGCUUCGGCCCACGUUCGCGUGCUUAGGAUGCUGGCAUAAUGGCCUUAAGCGACCCGUCUUGAAACACGGACCAAGGAGUCUAACAUGCAUGCGAGUGUUUGGGUGAUAAAAACCCGAGCGCGUAAUGAAAGUGAAAGUCGAGACCUCUGUCGUG
RNAcentral lists this ribosomal RNA (677 nucleotides) under Rhizopogon subaustralis. Its description in RNAcentral is "LSU rRNA". It matches the Rfam family "Eukaryotic large subunit ribosomal RNA", at positions 104 to 751 of the family's 3401-position model. The record is from RNAcentral. Lineage: Eukaryota; Fungi; Basidiomycota; Agaricomycetes; Boletales; Rhizopogonaceae.